Molecule: transfer RNA, 74 nt
Filed under: Methanomicrobia archaeon
Lineage: Archaea; Methanobacteriati; Methanobacteriota; Methanomicrobia
Description: tRNA-Val
Rfam family: tRNA
About the family: Transfer RNA (tRNA) molecules are approximately 80 nucleotides in length.
Source: RNAcentral
GGGCCCGUGGUCUAGUUGGUUAUGACGUCGCCUUGACAUGGCGGAGGUCAUGCGUUCGAAUCGCAUCGGGCCCA